UACGUAGGUGGCAAGCGUUAUCCGGAUUUACUGGGUGUAAAGGGCGCGCAGGCGGUCCUGAAAGUCAGAUGUGAAAGAUCAAGGCUUAACUUUGACAGGUCAUCUGAAACUUUGGGACUUGAGUAUCAGAGGGGAAAGUGGAAUUCCUGGUGGAGCGGUAAAAUGCGCAGAGAUCAGGAGGAACACCGGUGGCGAAGGCGACUUUCUGGCUGACAACUGACGCUGAGGCGCGAAAGCGUGGGGAUCAAACAGGAUUAGAUACCCU
Molecule: ribosomal RNA, 265 nt
Filed under: uncultured prokaryote
Description: partial 16S ribosomal RNA
Rfam family: Bacterial small subunit ribosomal RNA
Source: RNAcentral